Anolis sagrei ordinatus is the source of this 2932-nucleotide RNA transcript. It is a transcript of the gene named cyclin and CBS domain divalent metal cation transport mediator 3, with no coding region annotated. The record is from RefSeq and is a predicted model, not a curated record. NCBI's taxonomy places the organism in Eukaryota, Metazoa, Chordata, Lepidosauria, Squamata, Anolidae.
AGCUAGGUUAGAGUGCGGCAGAGGGGAGUCAGCUGACAGGCUCGUCCUCCCCUCCCUUGCGCGCUUUGGCUCAGUCCACUCCCACUUCUUUGCUGCUGCUGCUGCAUCUGGCUCCAGCCAUGGUGGGCAGUGGCAGCUGGCUGUGGCUCUUCUGCGCAGGCGCACUAGCACAGGCCUUGGUGGGCAAGGGCCCUCAGGAGCCAGGGGCCACUCAAGACAGGAAGGGCCCUCAGAACCUGGAGGCCAAGGGGCUGCAGGAAGGCAGCUCUUCCCACCUUAAGGUGCUGGGCUUCCGCUUGGAGGAAGGCGCCUCGGCCACUGGGGGCCUAGUCAAGGCCACUCCAGGGGCCACUUUCCGCCUGAGGCUCUAUGGCACCGGCCUCAGCAACCGGACGGGCCCUUGGGUGGCCUUCGUGGCCACAGGGGACCCUUGUGCGGUCAGUUCGGCCAGCGAGGUCCGCGUCCACGACAUCCAACCGCUUGGGGACCACGCUGCCUUGGUGACCGUCAAAGUGGCCCCGCUCGGCGCCAGGGGAGAGUACCGUCUCUGCAGCCCGGUCGGACCAACCGGUCACUCGUGGGCUCCGGCCGCUCCGGGGGACGCGAUCUUAGUCACCGAAGACGAAGGCGGCGGCGGUGGUGGUGUCCCCGGCGGGAAAGUGGCCACGUUGGCCUUGCCCGUUCCCUUGGCGCCGUGGCUUUUGGGCACCUUAGUGGCCCUACUCCUUGCUCUCUUGUCCCUUCUGCGGACUUUGCAACUCGGGACCUUGUGGCUGGACCCGGCGGAGCUCUACGUCCUUCGGGAUUGUGGCUCCGAGUCUGAAAGAGAGGCCUCCAAGACGCUGGAGCCCAUCCGGCAACGAGGGACCUUCGUGCUCUGCUCCUUGCUACUCCUAAGUUCUGUGGCCAAUGCUGCCUUGGCGGUGCUUUUCUACCGCGCUGUGGGACUCCUAGCGCCCGCCAUCCUAGGAGUAGCUGGCUUGGUCUUCCUCUUGGCGGAGGUGCUGCCCUUCGCCAUCAGCUCGCGCUGGGGGCUCCUGCUGGCCCCUCGUGGCUUGUGGUUGACCCAGCUCUGCAUGCUGUUGACGUUUCCCAUCUCGUUGCCCCUCAGCAAAGUGCUGGAGUUGGCUUUCCACCACGACACCAGCACCUGCCUCUUGCGGGAGAAGAUCCUGGACAUGGUACGCAACAGUGACCCAUACAACGAGUUCGUGCGGGAAGAGUUCAGCAAAGGGGCCCUGCGGAACAAGACGGUGGAGGACGUCCUGACGCCGCUGGACCAGUGCUUCAUGCUGGACGCCAACGCGGUGCUGGACUUCAACCACAUGUCCACCAUCAUGCAAAGCGGCUACACCCGCAUCCCCGUCUAUGAGGAGGAGCGCACCAACCUGGUGGACAUGCUCUACGUCAAGGACCUAGCCUUGGUGGACCCGGACGACUGCACCCCUCUCAGCACCAUCAUCAAGUUCUACAACCACCCGCUCCAUUUCGUCUUCAAUGACACCAAGCUGGACGCCGUGCUGGAGGAGUUCAAGCGAGGGAAGUCCCACCUGGCCAUUGUCCAGAAGGUCAACAACGAAGGUGAAGGGGACCCUUUCUACGAGGUCAUGGGCCUGGUGACCCUGGAGGACGUCAUUGAGGAGAUCAUCAAGUCGGAGAUCAUGGACGAGUCGGAUGACUACAGGGACAACAAACUGAAGAAGAAGCCAGCCCCACUGGGGUCCUUGAUGGAUCGCAGGAAAGAAGACUUCUCUCUGUUCAAAGUGUCCGAUAAUGAAUACAAGGUGAAAAUCUCUCCACAGCUUCUCCUGGCGACGCAGCGCUUCUUAUCCAGAGAGGUGGACCUCUUUGGCCCGGCCCGCAUCUCGGAGAAGGUCCUCUUGCAUUUGCUGAAGCAUCCCAGCGUCAACCAAGAGGUCAAGUUCGACGAGAGCAACCGCCUGGCCGCCGACCACUAUUUGUAUCAGCGCAACCAGCCCGUCAACUACUUCAUCCUCAUCCUGCAGGGCAGGGUCGAAGUUGAGAUCGGAAAAGAGGGGCUGAAGUUUGAGAACGGGGCCUUCACAUAUUACGGCGUCUCCGCACUGACGGCACCUUCUUCCGUUCACCAGUCCCCAGUAUCCACCCUCCGAAUGAACCGCCGCGACCAGUCUUCGCUGGACUGCACAGAAGCCACCAACUACUCCGCUUACUGUCCGGAUUACACUGUCCGAGCCUUGACCGACCUGCAGUUCAUCAAGGUGACCCGUCUGCAGUAUCUCAAUGCCCUGAUGGCCUCCAGGAUACAGAACUCCCCGCAGUCUCCGGACAACAUCGAAUUGAAAAUCAUGCCCAGCAGCCAGACAAAGCUCCUGAAUGACAAAAACGCUGCAACAGCCUUCCCGCUAAACCUCUCUUUCUUUGGCACAAUUGAGAACUGCAUUUAAUACAGGCCCCCCUCUGCCAUAUUGCUGGAGUGCCUUUGUUUUGAAAGCCACAAGGAAACAGUCGAAGCAAGCUCAACCUUCUGGAAGAGGAGAUCCAGAGUUCGGGGGUCUGAUGCCGUGGACAAUGAGUCAGCUGGGCCUGCAGAGGAGCCCCUUCCCCGAAUCCCUUGACCCUCCUGGAGCUCUCCGGCCUCGUUUCCGACAGAGCCUUGUUCUCUUGCUUCCAAUCUUGAAAAAACCCCUGAACUCUGUGUGGGGCUUGAGGGGAUGCUCUCGAUGUUUUGUUGCCGGUGCUCUUAACGGGCAUUAUUUUCCAUCGACUCUGGAGGGUGAGCUGAGCUGAGGGGGAACGUGGACUGCGAGGAACUGCCCUCCUAACCCAGCACCUCAUUCGCUUUGGCCGAAGCCGGUGCCGUGAGCAGGGACUGGGCCAAGGUGCCGCAGCAACAGCACGUUCCUCUCCUCCCUUGACAGCGUUGUGGUCCCUUGUGUUCCAUGCAAAACAA